Gossypium raimondii (Peruvian cotton) is the source of this 620-nucleotide long non-coding RNA. RefSeq lists it as uncharacterized. NCBI's taxonomy places the organism in Eukaryota, Viridiplantae, Streptophyta, Magnoliopsida, Malvales, Malvaceae. The transcript has 2 exons. The record is from RefSeq and is a predicted model, not a curated record.
UUAUAUAUAUGCUUGUGUAAUGCAGGAGCUGCUACUAUGAUAUUAUAUUGUUUCAGUCUUAUUUAUUGAUUGUUGGAGAUAUGGAUGGAUGGUUAGGAUUAUAAGUUAUUGUUAAAGUUUUAAUCUAGGAAUAGGAAUAUAGGAUUAAAGCUUUAUUUGUAACUUAGCAGCUAUCAUUUUUUUCACAUCUCCUCAAUGAAAUUUUCAUUCGGCUAAAUACUUACAAGUUGAACACUAGUAGCUAAAACUUAAAUUGCAGCACUCGAACUCUGUUGAUAUAUUAGAAAUUGUUUCCUUUUUUAUUGCCAUUCUUUGUUGCUUGUUGUCUUAUUAUGUCUUUUUUUUCUUCACUUUUUCACAGCAUAAGCCCAAAUCAUGCGAGUUUCAAACUCACAAAGGUGAUAGAAUCAAAGUGCACUAUCGGUUGCUACUGUUCCUGAUGGCUUGAAGGCAUGGGAGAUGCUGAAAGGAAGACCACAUAAUGUAGAUCUCAUUUUGACAGAAGUGGAUUUGCCAUCUAUAUAAGGAUUUGCUCUUCUUACACUAAUUAUGGAGCAUGAUAUUUGUAAAAGCAUCCCUGUUAUAAGUAUGAUAUGAAAGAUUCUUUAAUAUUUUCUAAA